UACGUAGGGUGCGAGCGUUGUCCGGAUUUAUUGGGCGUAAAGAGCUCGUAGGCGGUUUGUCGCGUCGGCCGUGAAAUCUCCACGCUUAACGUGGAGCGUGCGGUCGAUACGGGCAGACUUGAGUUCGAUAGGGGAGACUGGAAUUCCUGGUGUAGCGGUGAAAUGCGCAGAUAUCAGGAGGAACACCGGUGGCGAAGGCGGGUCUCUGGGCCGAUACUGACGCUGAGGAGCGAAAGCGUGGGGAGCGAACAGG
Molecule: ribosomal RNA, 253 nt
Filed under: uncultured bacterium
Lineage: Bacteria
Description: partial 16S ribosomal RNA
Rfam family: Bacterial small subunit ribosomal RNA
Source: RNAcentral